GAAGUACUCCUUUCUUGUAUUAUUUGAUAUGCAUGAAAAUGGAGUAGAGGGUCCAACGCCCCUAAUACAACAUGCCUUAAUGUGAUUAAACGCGUAACUAAAAUCAAUCACCAUCCCUAGACCGAGAUUCAACACUAGGCUCGUGUUGAAUCUAAACAAAGGUUCAUAGUCAUCCUAAGGCCCUAAGGCAACUAUGUAGUCCAUCAAAUGAAUGCAAAGUUUAUGUUAGUAGUAUCAUAUACUCUUGCUUUAAAAACCAUUUUAUAAGCAUAGUGGGAGUAUUAUAUACAACUAAAUUCAAUCAAAUGGACCAAUAGUUGUAAUAGGACCAAAAUUGUUUUAAUAAAGAUUAAAAUGAAUAUUUAUAUGUGAUGAGACCUAAAACCCUCAACCAAACCAUUAUUAAGUUGAUAAGUGAGAGAUGCUUUGAACACUCUUUCGUGGCCUUCCACUGUGGUAGGCUCCAAUCGUUUGUGACUCGUACACCGGCUUCACCCUUUCAUGGGGGAGUACAAAGUGCGUGCUUACACUCAGGAGGAGUCUAUAUGCAUACUUGAUGUUGUGAAAGGUAGGCAACGAGAAUAGCCACCAUCAUAUCAUUGUGAGGUUGUUCUUGAACCCCUACCCGAACUUGCAUGGUGGGAAUGACUUAACUAAGUGCAAUGGAGCCAACAUCAUAUCAUUGUGAGGCUACAUUCUCUAGAGGCCAAAUAAGAUGGGUACUUGCAAGAGAUGAAAAUGAGUAAGCGUACUCUCUCAUUAUUAUUAAUGCUAGCCAAUAUUAUAUCAUUGUGAGGUGGGCUUGGUAAUAGUGAGUCUCCCAUACCCUACUAAGAGUUUCCUCCAAAACUCUCGAAUUCCAAUGAGGGAUAUGGAAUUUGCCAAAAAUAGUGGGUGGUGCUAUUUGAUUUAAAGACCCGGAUCAAAUGGCUUAAAAUCAAUCGAUUUAUAUUCGUUAUGUAUUUAUUUACCAAUAUAUUUGCAAACGCUAUCCAACACUUGACAAAUAAAAGCCGAAAGCUUUAGUUUCUGGACUUGGUACUACAAAACCAUAGAUUGUCUUUAAUGGCUUGUAAAUGUACCUAAGUAGUCUAAUCCUCACAAUCUUCCUAUUAAUAAUGUGUCAUUGGAAGAACAUGUUAGAUAAGUCUAUCAUAAAGAGGACAACACUUUUAAUAUCAUAGUUCUUCACUUACAAAUCGUUGUAUGAAGAAAUAAGAGUUGCUUUGAACAACCCUUAGCUAAUGCAAAC
RNAcentral lists this long non-coding RNA (1252 nucleotides) under Malus domestica (apple). RNAcentral describes it as "long non-coding RNA (MDOM_LNC009343)". Lineage: Eukaryota; Viridiplantae; Streptophyta; Magnoliopsida; Rosales; Rosaceae. The record is from RNAcentral.